UCCUACGGGAGGCAGCAGUGGGGAAUAUUGCACAAUGGGCGCAAGCCUGAUGCAGCCAUGCCGCGUGCAGGAAGACUGCCCUAUGGGUUGUAAACUGCUUUUAUACGGGAAGAAACCCACCUACGUGUAGGUGGCUGACGGUACCGUAAGAAUAAGGACCGGCUAACUCCGUGCCAGCAGCCGCGGUAAU
Molecule: ribosomal RNA, 190 nt
Filed under: uncultured bacterium
Lineage: Bacteria
Description: partial small subunit ribosomal RNA
Rfam family: Bacterial small subunit ribosomal RNA
Source: RNAcentral